RNAcentral lists this ribosomal RNA (120 nucleotides) under Methanothermococcus thermolithotrophicus. Lineage: Archaea; Methanobacteriati; Methanobacteriota; Methanococci; Methanococcales; Methanococcaceae. The record is from RNAcentral.
UGAUAUAACGGUCAUAGCGGAGGAGCCACAUCCGAUCCCGUCCCGAUCUCGGAAAUUAAGCCCUCCAGCGAUACCCUAAGUACUGCCAUUUGGUGGGAACAGGGUGACGCUGUUGAUCAC